CAAAAAGACAGUCUGGUGUUUCUGAAGGAGGAAGCUGAUGGGAAGAGGAGGGUUAGUGAUGAAGAUAAAGCACUCUCAGUGACAGACGCUGCCUUGCCGAUUGAAACAUUUGAUCACCACUUUUUGAUGAACACGCUGUGGAGAGAAACAUCUGCCAUUAAGUGAGGUAAAACCUGUC
This is a long non-coding RNA of Amblyraja radiata (thorny skate), 178 nucleotides long. RefSeq lists it as uncharacterized. Lineage: Eukaryota; Metazoa; Chordata; Chondrichthyes; Rajiformes; Rajidae. The transcript has 3 exons. The record is from RefSeq and is a predicted model, not a curated record.